ACCGCGAUAGCUCAGCUGGUAAAGCAUCUGCCCAAUAUGCGGAAGGUCGCCGGUUCGAUUUCGGCUCGCGGUU
This 73-nucleotide transfer RNA is filed under the name Fasciola hepatica (liver fluke). It matches the Rfam family "tRNA". Rfam says of the family: Transfer RNA (tRNA) molecules are approximately 80 nucleotides in length. Their secondary structure includes four short double-helical elements and three loops (D, anti-codon, and T loops). Further hydrogen bonds mediate the characteristic L-shaped molecular structure. tRNAs have two regions of fundamental functional importance: the anti-codon, which is responsible for specific mRNA codon recognition, and the 3' end, to which the tRNAs corresponding amino acid is attached (by aminoacyl-tRNA synthetases). tRNAs cope with the degeneracy of the genetic code in two manners: having more than one tRNA (with a specific anti-codon) for a particular amino acid; and 'wobble' base-pairing, i.e. permitting non-standard base-pairing at the 3rd anti-codon position. The record is from Rfam by way of RNAcentral. Lineage: Eukaryota; Metazoa; Platyhelminthes; Trematoda; Plagiorchiida; Fasciolidae.